RNAcentral lists this ribosomal RNA (253 nucleotides) under uncultured bacterium. RNAcentral describes it as "partial 16S ribosomal RNA". It matches the Rfam family "Bacterial small subunit ribosomal RNA", at positions 524 to 776 of the family's 1533-position model. The record is from RNAcentral.
UACGUAGGGGGCAAGCGUUGUCCGGAUUUAUUGGGCGUAAAGAGCGUGUAGGCGGCCAGACAGGUCAGCUGUGAAAACUCGAGGCUCAACCUCGAGACGUCGGUUGAAACCGUCUGGCUAGAGUCCGGAAGAGGAGAGUGGAAUUCCCGGUGUAGCGGUGAAAUGCGCAGAUAUCGGGAAGAACACCCGUGGCGAAGGCGGCGCUCUGGGACGGUACUGACGCUGAGACGCGAAAGCGUGGGGAGCGAACAGG